This 209-nucleotide long non-coding RNA is filed under the name Mytilus galloprovincialis (Mediterranean mussel). Lineage: Eukaryota; Metazoa; Mollusca; Bivalvia; Mytilida; Mytilidae. The record is from RNAcentral.
GGGAGGGGUGGGUGUGGUUGAGGGUUGGUUGUUGUUGAUGAACUGAUUUUUUUUUUGUUUACAUGUAUUAUCUUAAUUCAUGCAUGUUUAAAAUAAUUUCACACUGUCAUGUUGUUUUUAAUAAUCUUGUGCAAAGCGAUAUAUGAUAUCUAUUGUUUUCAUGCUAAUAAUAGGCUAUUUAUAGACAAAAUUAUGUUUCCAUGGCAACC